GAACAGAGGUCAGCUACAAACAGCCUCAGCUGGAGGAGCUGCUGGCAUUUCAGUGUGAGGAUCUGGGGAAGGAGUAAAACACCAGCAGCUUUCAACAUCCUCAAAGGCAUCUAAUUGUUGGGCCAUCCUGAGUAUCUGCACUUACAGAAAUCAAGGCUGGAGUGGAACUCCCCUGAAAGCCAGGCACUGGGAAGCCAAGAUUAGUUUUCAGAAAAAAGGUCCAGAGCUAUCGGAUCUCACCCCGGCACAAGCUGCAUGAAUACGUCCAGCGAUACUGUGAGCUGAUUAUUGUUCAUCCUUAACGGCUUUCCAUUCGGAACAACGCUAUUAGCAUGGUCAUUGUGCCCAGGGCUGCUGAUGGAACUCAACCAGCCCUUGAGGAACAAAGCAUCCCUUUUCCACGGCACCCUGUGACUGGCAGGGGUUGGAUUAGCAGCUUGUCAAUCCUGCAGCUCUUCCUCCGUGCACCCUUGAAUGCUUGGUUAGUACGUGGAAUUACAUUAUCUGAAAAAUUAAUACCAAACAUUAAGCGAAAGCUGUGUGCUAUUCCCUCCUGACCUGAUUAUUCUAGAUUAUUUAACUAAGUAGCCAGCAUACCCCCUAAUUUAAGUGCUGAAUUCCUACCACACAAAACGUUAUCUUUUCUCAUAAAAGGAGCCCACGAAAAGAGCAAGCUCAAUUGCCAAUUAUGCUUCUUCCAUGAAAUCUCUUCUAUCCCCUUCAGGAUAGGUUUGGGUAAAAAUAUAAUUGCAGUGGAUAAGGAAGCUUAAGAAAAGAUGUAAAUGAAAAAUGUUAUGUGUUGGCAUCUGAUUGAUCCAUUUGAAAGAAAGAGAAGGAGAAUUUGAUGAGCUGGUAAGGAGCUCACGGUUUGUUUCGAAGGAACCCAGCGUUUUUUAACCUGCACAGGGUGCUGAGCUAUAAUUAAGAACGGCAAGUCAGUGAAAAAUCUAUUUAAACUCCUGACAGCUUCUCUGCAUUAGCAUUUUUGACAUCUACAUUCACUCUGGCAAAUCACUAAUGUGAUUUUUUUUUUUCAAAAUUAUAUUUUUAUUAGCUUCCUGCAUCUAAUAACAAAGUGAAAAUGAUGUUGCAGCCUGGACAGGUCGUUAACUCAAAAGCACAGCACUUGCAUUGUGCUUAAUUAGCUGCCUGAUUAUUGUUUUAUUUUGAAAGAAGUUUUGUAAAUAUGUUUUCAUCUGUAAGUCAUCUUUAAAGAGAAAACAACUGUUUGAUACUGAUAGUUGGUGAAAAGCAUGGCAAACCCUGGAUUACAAACACUGUGAUUAAUUGAUGUCAAGAUACUAAUCUCUGGGGGUUUUACUAAUAAUUAUAAUAAUAAAUAAAAACUAUGAUUUAUAAAA
Molecule: long non-coding RNA, 1361 nt
Organism: Oenanthe melanoleuca
Lineage: Eukaryota; Metazoa; Chordata; Aves; Passeriformes; Muscicapidae
Exons: 3
Source: RefSeq, a predicted model, not a curated record